Molecule: long non-coding RNA, 1016 nt
Filed under: Equus caballus (horse)
Lineage: Eukaryota; Metazoa; Chordata; Mammalia; Perissodactyla; Equidae
Description: lncRNA (ENSECAG00000041801.2)
Source: RNAcentral
CUCCUGAUUACAAGAAAGACCUUUAUUCCAACAGGUGAAGUUGAAGAGUAUUCAUAAGUCUCACUGCAAUUUUUAAACUUUUUUCCAAAGGCAAGUUUUUACCACCUUCUAAUUUACAACAAAUGCUAUCCAUAUUGGGAUGACUCCUCAAACUCUAUCUUCAACUCAGGUGACUGUUGAGAUUAAGUUCCAUUCAUUCAACAGCCAACUGCACAUUCUAUGCUCAACAUAACCAUGACUAAACUCAUCAGCCUCCACAUCAAACCUGGUCUUCUUCCUUUCUUCAUGUGGUCUUGACUGAUUUCCUCUGCACAAGCCAGAAUCUAUCUAGCCCAUUAAGUGAAGGCUCUAUGCCAUCCACAGGGCUGACUGCCUUUUAAACACAGAACAUCCGUCUUCCCUACCAUUGUGUGCCUAGCUCUGUGUCUAACUCCAGGAACGCCUAAAGCAAACUUACUUCACCAUUUCCACAUUCCACUACCACAGACCCCAGGAUCUGGACCACCAGGCGUAUCUUCCUUGGAGAGUCGGCUUCUCAUAGGAGAGUCCUUCUCAUCCUUGCAGUGCCUGGCACAAGCAGCUCCAAGGAUGACAGCACUUUCUCUCCAGGAACAGGCUGACCACAGGUGGGAAACACAUCUAAAGGUAUCCAUCACAGCUGACAGAAGAAUGGAACAAUGUGAUGCCUGGAGCCUGUCAUGCCUGGAGAUCAACAUCCCUGGACCCCCUCUUUACUGCUCGUUUUUCAUACAUAACUGCUUCAAGAUUCUGUAAUCCUUGAAGAUAGGUUUUUGAAAUAUGAGCCACCUGUCUUCUGAUUAGCCAUCUAAUCUAAUUAAACUUCCUUCUCGAUUUCUAACUGGUUGUGAUUAAUUGGAUCAGAUCAUGGUGAGCAGAGCAAGCCCAUUGCUCAGUAUCAUUAGGAUAACCCCACUCCCCCAACUAGGAUAGUCUCCAGCAUAGCAUCCUAAUUGGAAUAACCUCUUAACUGGAAUAGUCUCCUCACUGGAAUAACC